UACGGAGGGUGCGAGCGUUGUCCGGAAUCACUGGGCGUAAAGGGCGCGUAGGUGGCCCGUUAAGUGGCUGGUGAAAUCCCGCGGCUCAACUGCGGGGCUGCCGGUCAGACUGGCGAGCUAGAGCACGGUAGGGGCAGAUGGAAUUCCGGGUGUAGCGGUGGAAUGCGUAGAGAUCCGGAAGAACACCGGUGGCGAAGGCGGUCGACUGGGCCAGUACUGACGCUGAGGCGCGACAGCGUGGGGAGCAAACAGG
RNAcentral lists this ribosomal RNA (253 nucleotides) under uncultured prokaryote. RNAcentral describes it as "partial 16S ribosomal RNA". It matches the Rfam family "Bacterial small subunit ribosomal RNA", at positions 524 to 776 of the family's 1533-position model. The record is from RNAcentral.